CGGGCGCGGCAGCGGGGGUGGGCCUGCGCCUUUAAGAGGGGGCCGGGCCGGCGGUGACCCCGCGCGCUGUCCGCCUCUUCCUGGUUGCCAUGGGCACCGCCUGUCGGCGUCCCAAAAUGGCGGCGGCGCCAUCCGGCCCGGAGAGCUGUGGGAAGGGAGCGGGCUUCCUGUGAAGCACUUCAGAUGUCUGGUUUUGGUUUUGUUUUCAGUUGCCCAAGUGUAUCCUUAAACUGAAGUCUGUUAAGAGAAAGUAGGACACCUGGAAAAAGGAAAGCAAGGCUUGCUGCAAGCAAGAUAGGGGAAUAGGAACCAGACAAAAGCAGAGGCUGCUCUGAAUUCUUUUAAGUAAUCAAGUGUGCAACAGUAGUUGGAAAAAUUAGCUGGAAAUAUACCUACUUGUCUGCGUGGAUGUAUUUGCAGCCCAAACGUGACCAGGAGACUCUGAUGCUAACUUUACCUUUUGCAGCAAGAAACGGCUUCCAUCUCGGAUCUAAAUUCAAUUUCAAUUACAUUUUAAAUAUAGAGGCAUUAACCAGGACUUUUUAAACAAGGGUAUCGAUUACUCACUAGGAAGUAUGCUGUUCCAUUGAGAAACUGGCAAAGGAAGAUUGCCAAAUAGUUCCUGCAUAAACUGCUUGAAGGAGGAAGCUGAAGAAGGAGCCUUGUAACUCAUUGCACAUGGUUCUAAAAGUAGACUGUAUAGAAGCUGUAUAGAAGUUCAGGUGUAUAAAUGAGUAUUCACAGAAUACAACUCAACUGGGUUGUGUAGAAGAAAUCUUGUGAACCAGUGGUGAAAAGAUUUAUUUUUUUUUUCCAAAUAGUUAUUUUAAGGCUUUAAUCAUAACUUCACAAAUGCAGGGUAACUAUCCCAUAUGUUCUUCCUGCAUGGGCAUCUACCAGUUCAAUUGCAGAAACAGAAGACUGAAGGAGACUUCUCAAGUCACUGAGUCCUAGUCCACGCUGUUUCAUCUAGCCAUGUAACAGAUCCUCACAGCAUACAUGGGGCUUGAUGUAUUUCAAAGGUGGUAAUACUUCUUUUUGCCUUGCUACUUCAGACAGAACAACUGCUCCAGAUCAGUACUUCUCUAAUGGCUGAAAAUACGGUUAUACAGACUAAUUUACAGUUUAUUUUUUAUGUGGAUGUCCUUUAGCAUAAAUAAUGCCAUUAUAUGUGGAUAACAAUGUUCUGUAUAUAUAUGUGUUCAUGUAUGUAUGUUUCAAUUAUUUUUAAUAAAUAUGCUCUUUUUUUUUCA
Cygnus olor (mute swan) is the source of this 1253-nucleotide long non-coding RNA. RefSeq lists it as uncharacterized. The transcript is spliced from 3 exons. The record is from RefSeq and is a predicted model, not a curated record. Lineage: Eukaryota; Metazoa; Chordata; Aves; Anseriformes; Anatidae.